UCGGGAAUUUUGGGCAAUGGGCGAAAGCCUGACCCAGCAACGCCGCGUGAAGGAUGAAGUUUUUCGGAAUGUAAACUUCACAAGAAUGGGAAGAAUAAGUGGGGGAUAAUACCCCCCAUGAUGACGGUACCAUUUGUAAGCUCCGGCUAACUCCGUGCCAGCAGCCGCGGUAAUACGGGGGGAGCAAGCGUUGUUCGGAUUUACUGGGCGUAAAGGGCGCGUAGGCGGCGCAACAAGUCACUUGUGAAAUCUCCGGGCUUAACUCGGAGCGGCCAAGUGAUACUGUCGUGCUAGAGUGCGGAAGGGGCAACUGGAAUUCUCGGUGUAGCGGUGAAAUGCGUAGAUAUCGAGAGGAACACCUGCGGCGAAGGCGGGUUGCUGGGCCGACACUGACGCUGAGGCGCGAAAGCCAGGGGAGCGAACGGG
RNAcentral lists this ribosomal RNA (426 nucleotides) under Bacillota bacterium. RNAcentral's name for it is "Firmicutes bacterium partial 16S ribosomal RNA". It matches the Rfam family "Bacterial small subunit ribosomal RNA", at positions 355 to 776 of the family's 1533-position model. RNAcentral also lists the same sequence under 1 other name. The record is from RNAcentral. Lineage: Bacteria; Bacillati; Bacillota.